This is a small nuclear RNA of Molossus molossus (Pallas's mastiff bat), 102 nucleotides long. Lineage: Eukaryota; Metazoa; Chordata; Mammalia; Chiroptera; Molossidae. The record is from RefSeq and is a predicted model, not a curated record.
GGGGUUCAGCAGCCCACACACUACAAUGGGAACGAUACAGAGAAGAUCAGCAUGUCCCCGUGCAAGGAUGACAUGCAAAUCUGAGAAGUAGAAAAAAACAAU